UAACAUUCCACUGCUCUUGUGAUCUAUAUUCCUGGUUUCCACUACCCAAGUAGGCAAGACAGAUUUUUAUUUGCAUUCAUCGAGACAAUGCGUGUGCUUUAAAAUUUCCAUACCUCUACCACUGCUUGUGAACUGUGAAGUGUCUGGAAGCUCAAGCGGUACCUGAAUCUAUACAAGAGCCGUGCUUUUAGUUGGAAAUGAAGAAAAACUUCCAACAAGAUCAGAGGGCAGAUUGGGUGAUUUUGAAACUUAACAGAUCUUCUUAUUACAAACUACUGGAGAAAGAGAAGGGCCUAGGAAAGUGGAGAAAUGGGGGCAGGGCGGAAAUUAGGCAAGGAGGAGGAGGUGGAAAUCAAAUCCAUUUAAAUUUCACGAGAUCAGAAUAUAUAAAGUGAACCUAGUCACCACUGGCGUUGCUCAAAUUCCAUUCUGAGACUUAGUCAUUAAUAUUUAGCAUUUUUUGUGAUUAUUUUAUAGACAUGAUGUCAUUGUUUCACUGUGUUUUACUAAUCACCAAUGACACACUUGCCAGGGAGCAAAGUUAUAAUGUAGUGAUGUUAUGAGUGGAAUAUGUUGCAAUUGUGCUGUGGGGCGGGAGGGAAGUUCAGAUUAAGUUCAAGGCGUUUGGCUUGGAUAUUUUGGGUGAACCAAAUCUAGACUUCUCAGGGGGUUCUAUGUCUUAGAACCACAUUUAAAAACUCACCAUUUUAUUGUUUAAAAAGUACCCAUAAAAUUUAAAGCUUCUGAAAUGGGAAUCUUGGGGAAAGUGAAUAAAAUCCCAGACCUUCCAACAAAAACAACCUUCUUCUUUUUGACAACUCCAGGUUUAGACAUUCCUUAGGUUUAUUACCACAAAGCAGACCAAGCUGGCAAGAGAACCAGCAGGCCCCUUGUCCCUCUGUGCAGUGUCCUAGCCACAGCUGCUCCAACAGACACACCUCCCCGGUGAUGGAUGUGCUCUCUGCCAGGGAAGACCCAGGUGGAUGCACAUGUUUCUCCAUGAGGAGUUCUGCUUUCAACUUAUCAUCUACUCACCCUAUUUCAUCUUCGGCCUUGGCUGAUCUAAUGAUGAGCUUGAUCAAAGACAGAUGUUUACUCCUUUCUGGUAGGAAGGCAAUUCAAACUUGGUCCUCUGCAAAUUUCCAAGGAGACUUCUUUAAGUUAAAUGUGAAACAGUGGGGAAACUAACAGAAGAUUAUAGACCCUGAAGAAAAAUAGACCCCUUGAAUUGUUACACGGAGAGAACCACAAGCUCAACUAGCAGCUCUGUCUGCUUCUUCCGAUUUCCCUCAGUAGUGACAAAGGGAUGGUGAGAGUAUUCACUUACACUGGAAGUUUUGGGAAUUCUCCUGCAGAAGAGGGCAGAACAACCAUAGAGUGUUACUGGGUGAUGGGGUAAGGGACUGAGAAAUAGGUUGCUCCGAUUAGGUGAAUACUAGUAAUUGCUACACACUUGAGUAGUAAUUAUUCACAGAAAUUCU
Molecule: long non-coding RNA, 1481 nt
Filed under: Equus caballus (horse)
Lineage: Eukaryota; Metazoa; Chordata; Mammalia; Perissodactyla; Equidae
Description: lncRNA (ENSECAG00000055910.1)
Source: RNAcentral